GACGAACGCUGGCGGCGUGCUUAACACAUGCAAGUCGAACGGAAAGGCCCUGCUUUUGUGGGGUGCUCGAGUGGCGAACGGGUGAGUAACACGUGAGUAACCUGCCCUUGACUUUGGGAUAACUUCAGGAAACUGGGGCUAAUACCGGAUAGGAGCUCCUGCUGCAUGGUGGGGGUUGGAAAGUUUCGGCGGUUGGGGAUGGACUCGCGGCUUAUCAGCUGGUUGGUGGGGUAGUGGCUUACCAAGGCUUUGACGGGUAGCCGGCCUGAGAGGGUGACCGGCGACAUUGGGACUGAGAUACGGCGCAGACUCCUACGGGAGGCAGCAGUCGGGAAUAUUGCACAAUGGGCGGAAGCCUGAUGCAGCAACGCCGCGUGCGGGAUGACGGCCUUCGGGUUGUAAACCGCUUUCGCCUGUGACGAAGCGUGAGUGACGGUAAUGGGUAAAGAAGCACCGGCUAACUACGUG
This 468-nucleotide ribosomal RNA is filed under the name uncultured bacterium. RNAcentral's name for it is "partial 16S ribosomal RNA". It matches the Rfam family "Bacterial small subunit ribosomal RNA", at positions 28 to 507 of the family's 1533-position model. The record is from RNAcentral.